UUAAUUUGCUAAUCUGUUAGUUCGGCUAUGAUCACUUUUUGAACGAUAUUCAUUUUUCAUAUUUGUGUCCGUUUGAUGGACAAAAGAACAGUAUUAAAAAAAUAUGAAAUUUGAUUUUCAGAUAGUUUAAAUAGCUUAGAUCAUGUUCAACAGUGUUGAUCGUCAAUUUGAAAGCUCCAGUGUCGAAAAUAAAUCAGUAGUAGCAGAUCUCAUUUGCUAUUGAAAGUAAACUAUGUAUUGAAAAUGCAAAGCAACUGUAUUUCGAACUUUGAACUUUUGGAAUCAACCAUGAACCCUUUCUCUACUUUCCUCGCUCUUUCACUACUUCAACUGCUACUCUCUUCCAUCUUCAAGUGAUUUCAUUCUUCUCGCUCACAUCUUUGCUUCUUAAUUUUUAUAAAUGAAAUUUGAAAUUAAGCCACGAUGCCUGCGACCUCUCAUAUAAAAGAGACGUUUUACUCUCAUAUGAGAAGUGGAUUUUUUUUUUUUUUUUCUUUGAAAAAUAGAUAGCAUGCUAUUCAUUUCGUUUAUUUUAUUUAGAAAUAAAUUUUGAGAGAAAGAUUAAAGAUUUGGGGAUGCAGCAUAAGACCGAAUGUUACUCGUGCAGGAUGUAGAUUAAAUAUAUAUUUUUUAAAAUAUUUUAAUUUGUUCGUUUUUAUUUAUUUAUUUAUUUAUUUCCCUCUUUUGUUUUGUUUCGUUUUGCGUGAGAUAACAUUCAUGGACCGAAUGCUAUUCGUCCAAUUGUAGGAACGUGGGUCGAACAUUGCCUACGUUCAUUCUCACAUCUCUAUAGAAACUCUCUUUUACCAUCCUUUGGUUGUUGUGGGUAGGAACGAAAUUAGGAUUAAGGUUUGGAGGGGCCUAAGAUUUAGAUUUGACAGAAAAAAAUCGACCUCAAAUAGUAAAAAAAUAAAUUUGUCAGAUUCACCUAUCAUCUAUUACUAACAACAGUAGCGAUAAUGUGCUUAGAACAAAGCAAGACAAUUAGAGCUGAAGAAAAAGAGUCAAGAGGUUCGGAAAAAAAAAUUGGGCAACAAGUUUUAUUAAAAAAGAGUUAA
This 1058-nucleotide long non-coding RNA is filed under the name Ananas comosus (pineapple). RNAcentral's name for it is "long non-coding RNA (ACOM_LNC013901)". The record is from RNAcentral. Lineage: Eukaryota; Viridiplantae; Streptophyta; Magnoliopsida; Poales; Bromeliaceae.